Molecule: long non-coding RNA, 1378 nt
Organism: Esox lucius (northern pike)
Lineage: Eukaryota; Metazoa; Chordata; Actinopteri; Esociformes; Esocidae
Source: Ensembl
UUUCAUUAAAGUCGAUUGGAUUCACAAGUUUCUGAGUUGAAGUGCUCUUUGUUUUAGUCGUUGUGGACUUGGGUUUUCCACGACAUAAUUGGCGAGCCAGCCAGGAGUUGGACAGAGACAGAGGUGCCUGACUGAACUGCCUGGGAGGAAUUGGACUGUUUUACACAAACGGUGGCCACAACAAAGGAAAAGGCGCGGGUCCCGGAGCCCGAGGACGAUCAGCCCAGGGCGGUGGUUCCAGGAGACCAGGUCUACAUCAAGGUCUACAGGAGGAGGUGGAACGAGCCAAGGAGAGAAGGCCCCUACAGAGUGACCCAGGCCACGACGACGGCAGUACGCGUAGAGGGCAGCGACACCUGGUAUCACCUCAACCACUGCACCAAGGUUCCACAAGGAGUGGGACAACAUGAGGAGGAUGAGAAUGCUGAUCUUCCAGGCGGGAGUGAAAGCCAAGAGGGGGAAGGCGUGGCACCCUCAGCACCAGAGGAACUGGUACCUCAGCCGGAGAAGUCUGAGCCCAGCAGAGAGGAACCAGACGUGGGAGUGGAGAAUGCUCAUGCUCAGUCUGCUGUUGACAGCUCUGGGGCUAUGGUCUGUGUUACAGAUUCCAGGGGAGAAUGUACAAACAACAACGGAGCAGAUCCUGCAAUUGGUGCCACCACAGAAGAGACCUAAGGGGGGCCACGCCCGCCCGACACCAGUAGGAGACAACACCUUACCGCUGGUCUCACCGACUUUGACUAACAAUAUUUCAUUUAUUUCUGACUCUAGUAGCCCCGACACAGACCUUGACAGGAGGAAUGAGGUAUGUACAGCCGCAUUGUUAGCGGGGAUAUUGCCCCACCGUCUGGUGAUUGCAGAUGUAGAAAUCACAGUCUACAUUAACACAGUUGGAUUUGGUACCAAGAAUGAAGCUAUAUGGUUAGGAAGGGUAGAAGAAAGUAGGGAACAAUGGAAUGUUGUGGGGAGCAGUAGAAAAGGAGAAUGUGGCCCGCAAGAAAGAGAGAAGGAUCAAAGAGUAAAGUACUUGGUAAGGUGUAGUCAAAGGAAGUGUACAGUGAAUGUGACGGCUUCUGUCACCAGAGCCGAAGCGGAACUGUUGUUUGAAAGAGUAAAACCCACCUUAUCAAAAAAAGAGAGAGGCUGGGGCAAAAGGAGCGGGGAGGAAUGGGGUCUAGCGUGGGAUAGAGAAUUAGGCAGUACAGACCCCGAGACCUCCCUGCUCUGGAGAAGACCGAGGGCAGUAAGUGUUCAAGAUGGAAGUAGGGUAAAUACUACAACUCAGAAUGUGAAACGAGGGAAAAGGGAAAAUAGAUCAUGGAGUGUACUCGAGGCUAGAGAAGUUAGAAUGCCUGUUAAAGCCAGGGAUGAAGCCCAG